GACGAACGCUGGCGGCGUGCCUAAUACAUGCAAGUAGAACGCACAGUUUAUACCGUAGCUUGCUACACCAUAAACUGUGAGUUGCGAACGGGUGAGUAACGCGUAGGUAACCUGCCUGGUAGCGGGGGAUAACUAUUGGAAACGAUAGCUAAUACCGCAUAAUAUUGAUUAUUGCAUGAUAAUUGAUUGAAAGAUGCUGUUGCAUCACUACCAGAUGGACCUGCGUUGUAUUAGCUAGUAGGUGAGGUAACGGCUCACCUAGGCGACGAUACAUAGCCGACCUUAGAGGGUGAUCGGCCACACUGGGACUGAGACACGGCCCAGACGCCUACGGGAGGCAGCAGUAGGGAAUCUUCGGCAAUGGACGAAAGUCUGACCGAGCAACGCCGCGUGAGUGAAGAAGGUUUUCGGAUCGUAAAGCUCUGUUGUAAGAGAAGAACGGGUGUGAGAGUGGAAAGUUCACACUGUGACGGUAUCUUACCAGAAAGGGACGGCUAACUACGUG
Molecule: ribosomal RNA, 505 nt
Filed under: uncultured bacterium
Lineage: Bacteria
Description: partial 16S ribosomal RNA
Rfam family: Bacterial small subunit ribosomal RNA
Source: RNAcentral